UCAGAUAGCUCAGUCAGUAGAGCAUGAGACUCUCAGGGUCAUGGGUUUGAGCCCCACAUUGGGGAAAA
Podarcis lilfordi (Lilford's wall lizard) is the source of this 68-nucleotide non-coding RNA. NCBI's taxonomy places the organism in Eukaryota, Metazoa, Chordata, Lepidosauria, Squamata, Lacertidae. The record is from the annotation of a GenBank genome assembly.